GGCCCGUGGCCGAUUAGCUGGUUGGUGGGGUAAGGGCCUACCAAGGCGACGAUCGGUUGCUGGUCUGAGAGGACGAUCAGCCACACUGGGAUUGAGAACGGCCCAGACUCCUACGGGGGGCAGCAGUGAGGAAUUUUCCGCAAUGGACGCAAGUCUGACGGAGCAACGCCGCGUGCAGGACGAAGGUCUUCGGAUCGUAAACUGCUUUUCCCAGGGACGAGCAAGGACGGUACCUGGGGAACAAGCCCCGGCUAACUACGUGCCAGCAGCCGCGGUAAUACGUAGGGGGCAAGCGUUGUCCGGAUUUAUUGGGCGUAAAGCGCCCGCAGGCGGUCGCGUCAGUUUGGGGUGACAGCUCCUGGCUUAACCGGGAGAGGACCUCGAAGACGGCGUGACUUGAGGGCCAGAGAGGGACAUGGAACUCCGGGUGGAGUGGUGAAAUGCGUAGAGAUCCGGAAGAACACCAAAGGCGAAGGCAGUGUCCUGGCUGGCACCUGACGCUCAGGGGCGAAAGCGAGGGGAGCGAACGGGAUUAGAUACCCCGGUAGUCCUCGCCGUAAACGAUGACCACCAGGUGUGGGAGGGAUCGACCCCUUCCGUGCCGGCGUUAACGCACUAAGUGGUCCGCCUGGGGAGUACGGUCGCAAGAUUAAAACUCAAAGGAAUUGACGG
This 672-nucleotide ribosomal RNA is filed under the name uncultured bacterium. Its description in RNAcentral is "bacterial SSU rRNA". It matches the Rfam family "Bacterial small subunit ribosomal RNA", at positions 228 to 916 of the family's 1533-position model. The record is from RNAcentral.